AAACUAGCAACAGUCAAUGGAAAUAAGGAUAUACUGGAUUUUCCACCACACAAAAAUAAUCACAAAAACAAAACCUAGUCAUUUGAAAAAAUAAACAAGUCAAGUAGAAAGCGAAAAAUGAAGGGGAAAAAUCUUUAGCAACUCUUCUCUAGCAAUAUCACUAUUGAAACAAAAAAACCGACUCAAAGACAAGGUAAGUAAAGGACCUCACUGGU
This 215-nucleotide unclassified non-coding RNA is filed under the name Hevea brasiliensis (rubber tree). Lineage: Eukaryota; Viridiplantae; Streptophyta; Magnoliopsida; Malpighiales; Euphorbiaceae. The record is from RNAcentral.